GCACAAUUGCCAACUCAGCCGGAAAACUCGCCGAAGAUAUGACUCGAAACCCACGUGCCCGUGAUGUUCUCUAUGAUGGAGAUUGGAUUGAGAUGGAACAUCCGGUGAA
RNAcentral lists this non-coding RNA (109 nucleotides) under uncultured Mamiellales. Lineage: Eukaryota; Viridiplantae; Chlorophyta; Mamiellophyceae; Mamiellales. The record is from RNAcentral.